AGGUACUCCGGGGAUAACAGGCUGAUACCGCCCAAGAGUUCAUAUCGACGGCGGUGUUUGGCACCUCGAUGUCGGCUCAUCACAUCCUGGGGCUGAAGUAGGUCCCAAGGGUAUGGCUGUUCGCCAUUUAAAGUGGUACGCGAGCUGGGUUUAGAACGUCGUGAGACAGUUCGGUCCCUAUCUGCCGUGGGCGUUGGAGAAUUGAGAGGGGCUGCUCCUAGUACGAGAGGACCGGAGUGGACGCAUCACUGGUGUACCAGUUGUCUCGCCAGAGGCAUUGCUGGGUAGCUAAAUGCGGAAGAGAUAAGUGCUGAAAGCAUCUAAGCACGAAACUCGCCUUAAGAUGAGUUCUCCCUAGCUAUAAGCUAGUAAGGGUUGUUGGAGACUACGACGUAGAUAGGUCUGGUGUGUAAGCGGUGUGAGCCGUUGAGCUAACAGAUACUAAUUGCCCGAGAGGCUUAACU
Molecule: ribosomal RNA, 464 nt
Filed under: Glaesserella parasuis str. Nagasaki
Lineage: Bacteria; Pseudomonadati; Pseudomonadota; Gammaproteobacteria; Pasteurellales; Pasteurellaceae
Description: bacterial LSU rRNA
Rfam family: Bacterial large subunit ribosomal RNA
Source: RNAcentral